RNAcentral lists this ribosomal RNA (425 nucleotides) under Acanthamoeba sp. RNAcentral describes it as "SSU rRNA". The stretch from base 1 to 367 matches the Rfam family "Eukaryotic small subunit ribosomal RNA", at positions 768 to 1115 of the family's 1831-position model. The record is from RNAcentral. Lineage: Eukaryota; Discosea; Longamoebia; Acanthamoebidae.
AGAGUGUUCAAAGCAGGCAGAUCCAAUUUUCUGCCACCGAAUACAUUAGCAUGGGAUAAUGGAAUAGGACCCUGUCCUCCUAUUUUCAGUUGGUUUUGGCAGCGCGAGGACUAGGGUAAUGAUUAAUAGGGAUAGUUGGGGGCAUUAAUAUUUAAUUGUCAGAGGUGAAAUUCUUGGAUUUAUGAAAGAUUAACUUCUGCGAAAGCAUCUGCCAAGGAUGUUUUCAUUAAUCAAGAACGAAAGUUAGGGGAUCGAAGACGAUCAGAUACCGUCGUAGUCUUAACCAUAAACGAUGCCGACCAGCGAUUAGGAGACGUUGAAUACAAAACACCACCAUCGGUGCGGUCGUCCUUGGCGUCUCGGUCCUUCACGGGGCCGGGGCGCGGGGGUGGCUUAGCCCGGUGGCACCGGUGAAUGACUCCCUA